UAUGGCCCUUGCAGGAAUCAGAAGCAUCCUGGAGAUUGACCAUAGAUAGAAUACCACAAGCUCAACCAACUGGUGAUCUUGACUACAGCUCUGAUGCCAGAUAUGAGGUAUGUUAUAAUUCCCUAAUUCAGAUUGAAAGUAUAACUAUUAAAUUUAAAAUAAAAAACAAAGAAGACUAAGUCGGGGCAACUUAGUUAUCCCACAUUGGAAAAGUACAUAAUAUCAUAUUGUGGUAUGGUGAAGGAAUUUGUUCUAUCUUAGUCAGAAAAGAGCAUCAGAAACAGUUUACUACAUGGAUCAAACAGCACUAAACGUAUUGUUCCCUCUGUACUUUCAAGUAUUGUUUCCUCUGUACUUACAAAGGCCUGAAUCAUCAUAUUGGCCACAUCUGACGUUGACAGAUUUGUACUGGGACUGGCAUAAUUCUCCUGUUGUAUGUCAUAAUCUGAAGACCACCUGGAUAUAACUGUAAAACAUGAUAUUGGUUCAUUACAUCAAUAACAUCAGGAUGAGCAAGGGCAGAAUGAAGAGCUUGGUAAAAUGUGCAUUCCAGAGGGCAUGAGAUGAACCCUCUGAAGAUUCAAGCACCUGCUCUUUCUGUAAAAAUUUUAGGCAUCUACUUGUCAGGGGCAUAUUGGGACCUCCGCUCCAAAGAAAAAGGUAAAUGGUUGCAUUUUGCUUUCUUAAUUCCACAAUGGAAGUACCAUGGUUUGCAGGUCUCACUGGGUUUUCUAAGGUAAUAUGUUUCAUAGGAAUGUCCCUUUGGUUCAUACAUGGUUUGACAUAAAAGGGAAUCAUCUUUGAGUGGUGUCUGGAACAGGAAAGAGCUGUGCAGCAGAUCCAGGCUGUGACACAGCAGCUUGUCUUGGUGACUUCACUUUACCAUAAGAAAAUGCCACAGAACUGGGUGGCUUAAAUAACAGAAAUUUAUUUCCUCACAGUUCUGGAGGCUAGAAGUCCCAAAUCUAUUUCUGGCAGAGUCAAUUCCUAUUAGGACCUCUUCCUGGCUUGCAGAUGGCCAUCCUCUUGCUCUGCCCUCACAUGACAGAGUCAGAGAGAGUUGCUUUUAUAAUGGGUCCACCAGUCCUAUGGAUUAGGGCCCAACCUUUAUAAAAUAAUUUAUCUUUGUCUUCUGAAGAUCCUGUCUCCAAAUACAAUUACGGUGGAAAUUAGGGCUUCAACAUAUGAAUUCAGGUGGAGGUGUGUGUAAAAAUAGAAUCACAAUUUAGGCCCUAAAUUGUUGGUUCUGCAGCAAGGUCAUCCCAUUUGAAGUGGAGAAUUAAAUGCCUAUUAGGAAUAGCUUCUACAUGCCAUUGGGCCCUGGUAGAGACAGAACACUGGACCAUGGGAUACCAAGUGACCAGCCACCCAGAGCUGCUCAAUUGAGCUAGGUUUUGUUGGGCUACAAUCAAGUCAUAAAUUUGGGUGAGCACAGUAGUUUAUUAUAAGUGGAGACAUUACUUUAGGGUGGAAGGCAUGAGUAAGUUGCAUGAGCAGUUAGCUCAGACUUGCUUGUCAGCCAUCACCUUUCCCUCUAGCCCACACCUUUGCCUUUUAUGGGGGUUUCCUUAUGUGGGUACAAGCUGAAAAUGCAUGAUAGCUCCAUUAGAGUCAUAUCCAGGGGUGGUUUUGAAGAAAGUGGUGAGGAAAAUAUCUUAAAAAUAAGUGGAGCUUAAUCAUCACCUCCCCUUGUUUUUUGGAGCAUUUUUUAAUUGAUGUGAAAUUCACAUAUAAAAUUAACCAUUUUAAAGUGUACAAUUCUGUAGCAUUUAGUACAUUUACAAUGUUGUGCAACCAUCACCUCUACCUACAUCUUAGUUUCAUCACCCUGAGAGGAAAUUCAAUAUCCAUUAAGCAGUCACUCUUCAAUCCCUCCUCCUUCCAGCCCCUGGCAAUUACUGAUCUGCUUUCUGUCUAUAUAGAUUUAUUGAUUCUGUAUAUUUCAUAUAAAUAAAAUCAUACAAUGUUUGACCUUUUGUGUAUGUCUUCUUUGACUUAGCAUAAUGUUUUCUAGGUUCAGCUAUGUUGUCGCAUGUAUCAGUACUUCAUUUUUUAUGGCUGAAUAAUACUCCGUGUUACGGAUAUACCACAUUUGUUCAUCCAUUCAUCCAUUGAUGGGAUUUGGAUUGUUUCCCCCUUUCAGACCCUUCAAGAAUGAGUGUGUGGGUCACACCACCAGAUAAUUCACCCAGACCUGCAAAGGUAGGUGAUAGCUGCUAAGACAAUUCAGAAUGGAUGGUUGGAGAGAGAGAUGAAUACCAGUUGUGGCCCCAAGACCAACUGCAGUGAUGUGGCUGAGUUUGACCCACUAACCUUUCUUUUUUAAAAGUCUUACCCUCAGGAUGAGAGGCCCACUGAGGAGUAGCUCCCAGGAUAUGCAUGGAGAAGUGGAUUGAUUUGGUACAAGGGGUGAAAAGUGGCAGUUAUGAAGUGUGCUAUUUAGAUCUCCAAAAGAUAACCAUCCACAGGGAGUGCAGUUAUCUGACAGCACCAGUUGCAGAUACCCUCAGGAUCUUCCUUCAGUGUCCACACCAAUGAGCUGAGGCCAUUCAUUCUGGGCAGUCCACAGGCAAUGACUGCACAUGGUGUUGGUAUCAGGGCUCAUCGUUUCCAGCUAGUGUGAGACUCCUCCUCUAUGGGCAGUCUUGGUGUUGGAGCUCACUGCUAAAUUGGUUGAGACUUUCUCAGAAUGAGCACAGUCUGAGGCUCUUCCUACCUAAUCUUACUUCUCCUUUCAUGUGAGUCAAACCUAUAUCAGGGGCAGAAAUAUUUUUUUUCCUGCUUGUGCUCUCUCUCCUCUUUAUAUUUUAUAGGCAUUAUCUCCAACAAACAUCUCGUACUUUGAACUGCAUCUUGGCUUCUUCUUUCCAAAGGACCUCCUCUCCCAGACUUGCAUCAUCAUCACUGGUAGAUGAUAACUUAGGCUUGAAUAAAUUAAGUGGCUCACCUCAGGUCCCACAAAUGUUAAAUGGACUAUUUUUUCACAAUACUUAUUCUCAUACUGAAUAAUAUCCAUGAAAUCACGCAAUUGAUGUGCAAGUUAUAAUUCCCUAAUUCACAUUGAAAGUAUAACUAACUAUUAAAUUUAAAAUAAAAAACAAGACUAAGUCUGGUCAACUUAGUUAUCCCACACUGGAAAAGUACAUAAUAUCACAUUUUUUUUUUGUUGAGAAUUUGUUUGUUCUAUGAAAGCAUAUUUGGCCAAGAGUUAAUUUUUGAGAUUUAGUCAAUGUAGUCAUUCUGAAGAAAUGGAGUACCUAUCGUCUUACUGAGAAACCAAUUUCAAUGCUUAUGGCUGCCAGCCUGUGUUAGACACAUCCAUCAAAACAGCAAAGGAGAUAGUCCAGUUUUAUGCCCUCCAAGCCAAUAUUCUAUUCCUAUGGCCUCUAAAAUGGAGUAUGUGUACUUAAAGAAAUAUGCAAGAUAAUACACAGAGUGACAAAGGAAAUAUUUUAACUAUUUUGUGAACAUAAAAUUAAACUUUUACUAAUAGGUUGGUGCAAAAGGAAUUGCAGCUUUUGCCAUUACAUUCAAUAGCAAAAACCACAAUUACUUUUGAACCAACCAAAUACUUAAAAUAGGCGGACACCAGUUCAUAUAUUCCACAUGCAUAAACUAUGUAUGCUCAAAAAUGGAGACAACUGUUAAAACCUGCUGUCUAAAAUUAACAAAACACAAGCCUUCCAUUCUAGUGGAGAAGAGGACAAAUAUAAUAAAUUAAUGCUAUAUGCAUAUACACUAUACAUAAAGUAUGUCCUAAGAGCUAUGGAGAAAAAUGUAGAAAAGGAGAACAGGGAGUGCUAGUGUGAGAUUCAAGAUUAAAUGUGGUUCUGAGGUAGGACCUCACUGUAAAGGUGAUGACUAAGCAAAGACCCAAAGAGGGUGAGAAAGCCAGCUCUGUAGGUAACUUGAGAAAAAAGUGCUCCAGAGAGAGGAACUAGGAUUGUCCUUUUGCUAGGGGCACAGCCUAAUAAAAGUAUAACUAACGUCCUUUUUUGUUACAAAGCUGGACAUUCAAAACAUUAAACAUAUUAUAACCAAUUUUUGCCAGAGGUUGCAAGUGUUUUUUGUGAAAAAUCAGACCUUGGCGAUGACCUUGAGCAGUAGGAUAUAAAUAACUCCCACAAGCUUAAUGUUCCAAUAAUGGAACACUAGGCAUAGAUAGGUUAAAGAUCAUUGCUAUCCCCAUACUCUGGACCCCUGCCUGAUGAAUACAUUAAGCUGACACCUGAGACACUGAUUCACCAAUUAACAAACUUCAGGCAUGUUGUUAAUGAUAGAACCUUCAUGACAGUGAUCCAGAGUUCCAGAUUCUAGAGUAUUCAGAGGUGGAAAUUCAUAGUCCAUGCUCAAGAUCGAAUGGCAUCUCUCAGACUGGAAGACCUUUCUGAAGUCAGUUCCAGACAUCCCUGGAAGGCUGGAUAAUUUGGGAAAAGGCUGACUCAAUGUAAGGUAAUACAGCAGACCAAAGCCCCCAUAGUUCAUGCCAGAAGUGACAAAGCGGAAAAACACUCAGGUAGACAAGCACUCAGGGACCGUUCUAGAGGCAAGUGGCCUAACCUUUUCUCCAUCAUGCAGGUUUGGCUUAAAUUCUUACAGCUAAAAUCAUGAGUCCUUGGUUAUGACAAAAAUGUUCUAAGAUAUGACACUUACAAUAACUAUGAUGUUAAACAUUCUGCUAAAACUUCUCUGGGUGAAGAAAAGAUCACAUUUUUGGAUAUAGAUAUAAAAUCUGGGUGAACUGAGGCAAACAGAAAUUAAGAGUCUGCACUUCGGAGUCAGACUGUUGGGGUUUAAGUCCCAGCUUUCUCACCUGCUAGGCAGGCAGCACUGGGUGUUUCUUAAGGUUUUUUAGUCUCCAAGCCUUUAAAAUGGGAUAAGAGUAUACACCUCAUAGGGUUGUUAUGAUGAGAAAUAAAUGAAUAUGUGAAAAAAAUGCCUGAAACAUAUAAAACAUGGUAUAAAUGAAUGCUUUUUAAAUAAAACAAUUCUUUUUAGCAUGGAUAGUGGUUUUUUUUGUGUGUGUGUGAGACAGGGUCUCACUCUGUCACCCAGGUUGGAGCCUCAACAUCCUGGGCUAAAGCAAUCCUCCCACCUCAGUUUCCCAAGUAGCUGGGACUAGAGGCACGUGCCACAUGCACCCAGCUAAUUUUUAAAUUAUUUUGUAGAGAUGAGGUCUUGCUAUAUUGCCCAGGUUGGUCCUGAAUUCCUAGUGUCAAGUGAUCCUUCUGCCUCGGCUUCCCAAAGUAUUGGGAAUACUGGCAUAAGUCAUCACACUCGGCAAAACAGAAUUCUCAUUUAAACUUCCUUUGCAACGUUACUUCCAAAGACUUGCCUCUUUCACCUUCAUCAAAGAAAAAAGACUUACUGACAAUUCCUGAGAGACUUUUACACAGAAAUGUUUAAAACAGAACUUUUUAUACAUUAUAAUUCUAUAAGCUCUGCCAAAUUUAUAUCAAACCUUUAACUGAAUUUCAAAGUGAAUGGUGUAAAAGAUGACCACAAAGAUUAUCAAAUGAAUACUUUAUUAGAGACAUAACACGUAUAAAAUAAAUUUCUUUUCAUCAUGGAGUUACCAGAUU
This 5582-nucleotide long non-coding RNA is filed under the name Homo sapiens (human). RNAcentral's name for it is "HSALNT0142618". The record is from RNAcentral. Lineage: Eukaryota; Metazoa; Chordata; Mammalia; Primates; Hominidae.